RNA transcript from Canis lupus familiaris (dog), 793 nucleotides. It is a transcript of the gene named small EDRK-rich factor 1A, with no coding region annotated. The transcript is spliced from 4 exons. The record is from RefSeq and is a predicted model, not a curated record. Lineage: Eukaryota; Metazoa; Chordata; Mammalia; Carnivora; Canidae.
CCACGCCACCAGCCCCGCGGGCAGCUACCGCAGCUUCGCACCCCCGCCGCCGCCGCCUUCCUCCCGCCGCCGCCUCUUCUUCAUGACCCUGCCACACUGAGAGCUAAGUCUCCGCCGUACCUCGCUUCCCCGCCCUCGGGGGGGCGCCGGAACUGAUGACGCCAUCAGCCAGCGCCGCGGAAGGACGUCAGACGCACGGCUCCCGGAGCCAUGGUAACUGUCAAGCUACAGGGGCCCCAGCAAACCGGAAAUGGGACUGCGCGGCGAAGCGUUCCUCCGUCCCACCCCCGCCGCAGGAAUCCCUGCGAGUUACUGGCGGGGGCGCAGAGAGGGAGUCUUGCAAGCCGCUGGGCGCAAACCGUGAGGAGACCGGUGCAAUCAGGCGGCGCCCGCCUGCUCAGCCAGAGGAGCGUGGGACUCUUGAUCCGGGGGUCGUCUUGCAGAGUAGCGCCUGUUCACCAGCACAUCCCCAGAACUUAGAAACUCCAAAGAGAAAGACAAGGGCUUUUCAAAGUUUAAAUAACAAGGAUGAAAGCAUAGGAGAGAGAAGAGAUUCCUCUAAGACUGGAAAGAAAAUAGAGGUCUCUGGAUUCUGUGGGCUCCCUCCGGUACCCUGAGGGAGUGAACAGGACUUCAGAUGCUUUUAAAGAAGUUCAACAACUAGACAAAGGAACCCCCUACUGAAGAUGUCUCAGGAAUCCUGGAACCACCGACAGGACCACAGGGCUUUGAGGAAACCAGCGAGAACUCGCCCGCCAGAAAAACAUGAAGAAAUCCCAGGAAAUUAGCAAGG